AGAUGAUAAAUGAUUAAUUCCCACAUUGGUUUGAUUUGCCAACAUGAUGGCCACAGUACUGAAUUGAACCUGAUCAUCA
Molecule: small nucleolar RNA, 79 nt
Filed under: Triticum aestivum (bread wheat)
Lineage: Eukaryota; Viridiplantae; Streptophyta; Magnoliopsida; Poales; Poaceae
Also listed under: 1 other name
Description: Small nucleolar RNA Z102/R77
Rfam family: Small nucleolar RNA Z102/R77
About the family: Z102 and R77 and are members of the C/D class of snoRNA which contain the C (UGAUGA) and D (CUGA) box motifs. Most of the members of the box C/D family function in directing site-specific 2'-O-methylation of substrate RNAs.
Source: Rfam by way of RNAcentral